This 138-nucleotide ribosomal RNA is filed under the name Neogale vison (American mink). The record is from RNAcentral. Lineage: Eukaryota; Metazoa; Chordata; Mammalia; Carnivora; Mustelidae.
GUCUACGGCCAUACCACCCUGAACGCGCCCGAUCUCGUCUGAUCUCGGAAGCUAAGCAGGGUCGGGCCUGGUUAGUACUUGGAUGGGAGAAACAAGUUAGAAACCAGAGCCCUUUUUUAAAUGCAGGUCCUAAAGAAC